RNAcentral lists this ribosomal RNA (517 nucleotides) under Sphingomonadales bacterium HD-OI-02-7. Its description in RNAcentral is "bacterial SSU rRNA". It matches the Rfam family "Bacterial small subunit ribosomal RNA", at positions 65 to 628 of the family's 1533-position model. The record is from RNAcentral. Lineage: Bacteria; Pseudomonadati; Pseudomonadota; Alphaproteobacteria; Sphingomonadales.
AACGAGACCUUCGGGUCUAGUGGCGCACGGGUGCGUAACGCGUGGGGAUCUACCAUAGGGUGCGGAAUAACUCAGAGAAAUUUGAGCUAAUACCGCAUAAUGUCUUCGGACCAAAGAUUUAUCGCCCUUUGAUGAACCCGCGUAAGAUUAGCUUGUUGGUGAGGUAAAGGCUCACCAAGGCGACGAUCUUUAGCUGGUCUGAGAGGAUGAUCAGCCACACUGGGACUGAGACACGGCCCAGACUCCUACGGGAGGCAGCAGUGGGGAAUAUUGGACAAUGGGCGAAAGCCUGAUCCAGCAAUGCCGCGUGAGUGAUGAAGGCCUUAGGGUUGUAAAGCUCUUUUACCAGGGAUGAUAAUGACAGUACCUGGAGAAUAAGCUCCGGCUAACUCCGUGCCAGCAGCCGCGGUAAUACGGAGGGAGCUAGCGUUGUUCGGAAUUACUGGGCGUAAAGCGCGCGUAGGCGGUUACUCAAGUCAGAGGUGAAAGCCCGGAGCUCAACUCCGGAACUGCCUUU